UGCAAACGUUGUUCGGAAUUACUGGGCGUAAAGCGUGUGUAGGCGGCUAAGUAAGUCGGAUGUGAAAGCCCCGGGCUCAACCCGGGAAGUGCACUCGAUACUGCUUAGCUUGAGUAUCGGAGAGGUUGGUGGAAUUCUCGGUGUAGAGGUGAAAUUCGUAGAUAUCGAGAGGAACACCGGUGGCGAAGGCGGCCAACUGGACGAAUACUGACGCUGAGACACGAAAGCGUGGGGAGCAAACAGG
Molecule: ribosomal RNA, 244 nt
Filed under: uncultured bacterium
Lineage: Bacteria
Description: partial 16S ribosomal RNA
Rfam family: Bacterial small subunit ribosomal RNA
Source: RNAcentral